UACGUAGGGGGCAAGCGUUGUCCGGAUUUAUUGGGCGUAAAGAGCGUGUAGGCGGCCAUACAGGUCCGUUGUGAAAACUGGAGGCUUAACCUCCAGACGUCGAUGGAAACCGUAUGGCUAGAGUCCGGAAGAGGAGAGUGGAGUUCCUGGUGUAGCGGUGAAAUGCGCAGAUAUCAGGAAGAACACCCGUGGCGAAGGCGGCUCUCUGGGACGGUACUGACGCUGAGACGCGAAAGCGUGGGGAGCGAACAGG
Molecule: ribosomal RNA, 253 nt
Filed under: uncultured bacterium
Lineage: Bacteria
Description: partial 16S ribosomal RNA
Rfam family: Bacterial small subunit ribosomal RNA
Source: RNAcentral